AUGGGGAAGCGAUGGAUCCCGCUCGAGGCCAACCCCGACGUCAUGAACCAGGUGAGCACGGCCUCCUCCCCCCUCCCCCCACCCCCGGUGCUAGGGUUUUGCUUCCUUUUCGUCUCGGGCGCGCUCUCGCUCACAGACGGCGCUUCCGCCGCGUGUUGGCGCCGAUGCCUGCAGUUCAUCUGGGGACUGGGAGUCACCGAGGGGGAGGCGCAGUUCUGCGACGUCUACGGCCUCGACGACGAGCUGCUCGCCAUGGUGCCCCAGCCCGUCCUCGCCGUCAUCUUCCUCUACCCGCUCACCUCCCUGGAUGAGAAGGUGGAGGAAUACGAUGCUUCUGCCACCUCGACGGCAGGGGGCAAGAGGUCCAGAAAAAUGUUGAUCUUGGAUUCAAGCAAGAAGGUGUACUUUACAAAACAGACUGUUGGCAACGCUUGUGGAACAGUUGGUGUUAUUCAUGCAAUAGGGAAUGCUGCAUCCGACAUCAAGCUGGUUGAGGGAUCUUAUUUUGAUAGGUUUUAUAAACAAACAGCUGACAUGGAUCCAGUUCAGCGUGCUGUCUUUCUCGAGGAGGAUGAUGAGAUGGAGGGUGCUCAUGCUGUUGCUGCUACUGCUGGUGACACUGACGUAAACGUUGAGGUGAAUGAACAUUUUGUCUGUUUCUCCUGUGUUGAUGGUGAACUUUAUGAGCUUGAUGGACGAAAAUCAAAACCGAUAUCUCAUGGCCCUUCAUCACCUGAGACCUUGCUGCAGGAUGCUGCAAAAGUCAUCAAGGCCAGAAUUGCGACGAACCCUAACUCGUUGAACUUCAACGUCAUGGUUCUUUCAAAACAGUGA
This 834-nucleotide ribosomal RNA is filed under the name Triticum aestivum (bread wheat). RNAcentral's name for it is "partial small subunit ribosomal RNA". The record is from RNAcentral. Lineage: Eukaryota; Viridiplantae; Streptophyta; Magnoliopsida; Poales; Poaceae.